Molecule: ribosomal RNA, 253 nt
Filed under: uncultured bacterium
Lineage: Bacteria
Description: partial 16S ribosomal RNA
Rfam family: Bacterial small subunit ribosomal RNA
Source: RNAcentral
UACGUAGGGUGCAAGCGUUAAUCGGAAUUACUGGGCGUAAAGCGUGCGCAGGCGGUUUCGUAAGUCUGUCGUGAAAUCCCCGGGCUUAACCUGGGAAUUGCGAUGGAGACUGCAAGGCUAGAAUCUGGCAGAGGGGGGUAGAAUUCCACGUGUAGCAGUGAAAUGCGUAGAGAUGUGGAGGAACACCGAUGGCGAAGGCAGCCCCCUGGGUCAAGAUUGACGCUCAUGCACGAAAGCGUGGGGAGCAAACAGG